GCUUGUCUCAAAGAUUAAGCCAUGCACGUCUGAGAAUAAAGAGUUUUCUCUGAAUCUGCGAAUGGCUCAUUAUAUCAGUUAUAGUUUAUUUGAUAGUCCUUUACUACUUGGAUAACCGUAGUAAUUCUAGAGCUAAUACAUGCAGGAAGACCCGACUCACGAAGGGUUGUAUUUAUUAGAUAAGAAACCUUCCCCUUUGGGUUGCGUGCCGAGUCACAAUAACUGCUCGAAUCGCAUGGCUUCACGCCGGCGAUGGUUCAUUCAAAUUUCUGCCCUAUCAGCUUUCGAUGGUAGGAUCGAGGCCUACCAUGGCGUUUACGGGUAACGGAGAAUUAGGGUUCGAUUCCGGAGAGGGAGCCUGAGAGAUGGCUACCACAUCCAAGGAAGGCAGCAGG
This 395-nucleotide ribosomal RNA is filed under the name Chrysochromulina parva. RNAcentral's name for it is "partial small subunit ribosomal RNA". It matches the Rfam family "Eukaryotic small subunit ribosomal RNA", at positions 30 to 432 of the family's 1831-position model. The record is from RNAcentral. Lineage: Eukaryota; Haptophyta; Prymnesiales; Chrysochromulinaceae.